This is a regulatory RNA element of Micromonospora yangpuensis, 61 nucleotides long. It matches the Rfam family "L31-Actinobacteria ribosomal protein leader". NCBI's taxonomy places the organism in Bacteria, Bacillati, Actinomycetota, Actinomycetes, Micromonosporales, Micromonosporaceae. The record is from Rfam.
CCGGUUCCGGUUCACGCCCGUUCCCGAUCAUGCUCGGGGCAGCGCGGGCGACCCGGCGACC